AUACUUACCUGCCAGGGGAGAUAGCAUGAUCACGAAGGUGGUUUUCCCAGGGCGAGGCUAAUCCAUUGCACUCCGGAUGUGCUGACCCCUGCGAUUUCCCCAAAUGUGGGAAACUUGACUGCAUAAUUUGUGGUAGUGGGGAACUGCGUUCGUGCUUUCCCCUA
This is a small nuclear RNA of Callithrix jacchus (white-tufted-ear marmoset), 164 nucleotides long. Its record names the gene U1. It matches the Rfam family "U1 spliceosomal RNA". Rfam says of the family: U1 is a small nuclear RNA (snRNA) component of the spliceosome (involved in pre-mRNA splicing). Its 5' end forms complementary base pairs with the 5' splice junction, thus defining the 5' donor site of an intron. Lineage: Eukaryota; Metazoa; Chordata; Mammalia; Primates; Cebidae. The record is from Ensembl.